UCCUGAUCUUAGGAAAAAGUUACAGAAAAUAGAAGGAUUUGAAGGAGAGAAUAGAAGUAAGUUGCUAGAAAUAGCUCAAAAGGUUUACGUGAAUAGAGAUGACCCAGAAGUCGGAAGAGCAAAAGAAGUUGCCAAAAUCCUACUGACAGCACAGCAGGCCCCAACUAAGGGCAAA
This is a long non-coding RNA of Phyllostomus discolor (pale spear-nosed bat), 175 nucleotides long. RefSeq lists it as uncharacterized. The transcript has 3 exons. The record is from RefSeq and is a predicted model, not a curated record. NCBI's taxonomy places the organism in Eukaryota, Metazoa, Chordata, Mammalia, Chiroptera, Phyllostomidae.